Molecule: ribosomal RNA, 561 nt
Filed under: uncultured bacterium
Lineage: Bacteria
Description: bacterial SSU rRNA
Rfam family: Bacterial small subunit ribosomal RNA
Source: RNAcentral
GGAUUGAAAUGGGGGCACCCUGAUCCAGCCAUCCCGCGUGUGNGAAGAAGGCCUUCGGGUUGCNAAGCACUUUCGGACGGAACGAAAUCGCACGAUCUAACAAGUCGUGUGGAUGACGGUACCGUAAGAAGAAGCACCGGCUAACUCCGUGCCAGCAGCCGCGGUAAUACGGGGGGGGCAAGCGUUGUUCGGAAUUACUGGGCGUAAAGGGCUCGUAGGCGGCCAACUAAGUCAGACGUGAAAUCCCUCGGCUUAACCGGGGAACUGCGUCUGAUACUGGAUGGCUUGAGGUUGGGAGAGGGAUGCGGAAUUCCAGGUGUAGCGGUGAAAUGCGUAGAUAUCUGGAGGAACACCGGUGGCGAAGGCGGCAUCCUGGACCAAUUCUGACGCUGAGGAGCGAAAGCCAGGGGAGCAAACGGGAUUAGAUACCCCGGUAGUCCUGGCCCUAAACGAUGAAUGCUUGGUGUGGCGGGUAUCGAUCCCUGCCGUGCCGAAGCUAACGCAUUAAGCAUUCCGCCUGGGGAGUACGGUCGCAAGGCUGAAACUCAAAGAAAUUGACGA